CCUGGUUGAUUCUGCCAGUAGUCAUAUGCUUGUCUCAAAGAUUAAGCCAUGCAUGUCUAAGUAUAAGCAAUCUAUACGGUGAAACUGCGAAUGGCUCAUUAAAUCAGUUAUCGUUUAUUUGAUAGUACCUUACUACUUGGAUACCCGUGGUAAUUCUAGAGCUAAUACAUGCUGAAAGCCUCGACUUCGGAAGGGGUGUAUUUAUUAGAUAAAAAACCAAUGCCCUCCGGGGCUCCUUGGUGAUUCAUAAUAACUUGUCGAAUCGCAUGGCCUUGCGCCGGCGAUGGUUCAUUCAAAUUUCUGCCCUAUCAACUUUCGAUGGUAGGAUAGUGGCCUACCAUGGUGGCAACGGGUAACGGGGAAUUAGGGUUCGAUUCCGGAGAGGGAGCCUGAGAGACGGCUACCACAUCUAAGGAAGGCAGCAGGCGCGCAAAUUACCCAAUCCCGAUACGGGGAGGUAGUGACAAUAAAUACUGAUACAGGGCUCUUUCGGGUCUUGUAAUUGGAAUGAGUACAAUCUAAAUCCCUUAACGAGGAACAAUUGGAGGGCAAGUCUGGUGCCAGCAGCCGCGGUAAUUCCAGCUCCAAUAGCGUAUAUUAAAGUUGUUGCAGUUAAAAAGCUCGUAGUUGAACCUUGGGUCUGGCUGGCCGGUCCGCCUCACCGCGUGCACUGGUCCGGCCGGACCUUUCCUCCUGGGGAGCCUCAUGGCCUUCACUGGCUGUGGGGGGAACCAGGACUUUUACUGUGAAAAAAUUAGAGUGUUCAAAGCAGGCCUUUGCUCGGAUACAUUAGCAUGGAAUAAUAGAAUAGGACGUGUGGUUCUAUUUUGUUGGUUUCUAGGACCGCCGUAAUGAUUAAUAGGGAUGGUCGGGGGCGUCAGUAUUCGGCUGUCAGAGGUGAAAUUCUUGGAUUUGCUGAAGACUAACUA
This is a ribosomal RNA of 929 nucleotides. It matches the Rfam family "Eukaryotic small subunit ribosomal RNA", at positions 3 to 942 of the family's 1831-position model.